RNAcentral lists this ribosomal RNA (500 nucleotides) under uncultured bacterium. RNAcentral describes it as "partial 16S ribosomal RNA". It matches the Rfam family "Bacterial small subunit ribosomal RNA", at positions 29 to 523 of the family's 1533-position model. The record is from RNAcentral.
AUUCAACGCUGGCGGCAUGCCUUACACAUGCAAGUCGAACGGCAGCACGGACUUCGGUCUGGUGGCGAGUGGCGAACGGGUGAGUAAUACAUCGGAACGUGCCCAGGAAUGGGGGAUAACGCCGCGAAAGGUGUGCUAAUACCGCAUAAGCUCUGACGGUGAAAGUGGCGGAGCGCAAGACCUCAUGUUGGUGGAGCGGCCGGUGGCUGAUUAGCUAGUUGGUGAGGUAAAGGUUCACCAAGGCGACGCACAGUAGCUGGUCGGAGGGGAGGACGAGCCAAACGGGGACUGAGCAACGGCCAGGAUUCCGCGGGAAGGCAGCAGUGGGAAAUUUUGGACAUUGGGCGAAAGCCUGAUCUAGCAAUGCCGCGGGAGCGAAGAACGCCUUCGGGUUGUAAAGCACUUCUGUCGGGGAGGAAAACCGUUGGGCUAAUACCCGGAUAGGAUGACGGUACCUGAAGAAUAAGCACCGGCUAACUACGUGCCAGCCGCCGCAGUAA